Molecule: ribosomal RNA, 492 nt
Filed under: uncultured bacterium
Lineage: Bacteria
Description: partial 16S ribosomal RNA
Rfam family: Bacterial small subunit ribosomal RNA
Source: RNAcentral
AGUGAACGCUGGCGGUAGGCCUAACACAUGCAAGUCGAACGGCAGCACAGUAGGAGCUUGCUCUUACGGGUGGCGAGUGGCGGACGGGUGAGGAAUACAUCGGAAUCUACUUUUUCGUGGGGGAUAACGUAGGGAAACUUACGCUAAUACCGCAUACGACCUACGGGUGAAAGCAGGGGAUCUUCGGACCUUGCGCGAUUGAAUGAGCCGAUGUCGGAUUAGCUAGUUGGCGGGGUAAAGGCCCACCAAGGCGACGAUCCGUAGCUGGUCUGAGAGGAUGAUCAGCCACACUGAAACUGAGACACGGUCCAAACUCCUACGGGAGGCGGCAGUGGGGAAUAUUGGACAAUGGGCGGAAGCCUGAUCCAGACAUACCGCGUGGGUGAAGAAGGCCUUCGGGUUGUAAAGCCCUUUUGUUGGGAAAGAAAAGCAGCAGGUUAAUACCCCGCUGUUCUGACGGUACCCAAAGAAUAAGCACCGGCUAAAUUAGUG